GUCACAUUUUGGGGUCAAAGGUCACGAUUGGGGGUCAACGGUCGCUAUUUUGGGGUCAAAGGGCACACAUAUGGGGUCAAAGGUCACUUUUGGGGGUCAAAGGUCGCGAAUGGGGGUCAAAGGUCACAUAUGUGGGCUCAGGGGACACAGAUUUGGGGUCAAAGGUCGCCAAUAUGGGGGUCAAAGGUCACAUAUAUGGGCUCAGGUGACACAGAUUUGGGGUCAAAGGUCACAUUUGGGGGUCAAAGGUCACAAAUGGGGGUCAAAUGUCGCCAUUUUGGGGUCAAAGAGCGCCGAUAUGGGGUCAAAGGUCACCGAUAUGGGGUCAAAGGGUACGUAUAUGGGGUCAAAGGUCACAUAUAUGGGGUCAAAGGGCACCGAUAUGGG
This is a long non-coding RNA of Gallus gallus (chicken), 387 nucleotides long. NCBI's taxonomy places the organism in Eukaryota, Metazoa, Chordata, Aves, Galliformes, Phasianidae. The record is from Ensembl.